UUGGGAUUUAGUAAUAUUUGAUUUAAUAGUAUUAAUUCAAUGAGAAAUAAUUAAAAGAAUAGAUCUAAUUAGAGAUGUCAUAGGGUCAGAUUCAGAACGGAUUUUUAAAAAUCUAAAUCUGAAUCUGACUCCAAACCUAAGAUCCGAAUCCGAACCCAACCGAUUUUAAAAAUUCAUAUCCAAAUCCGAACCCGACCAAAAAUUCAAAACCCGAAUCCGGAUCUUAAAAUUUGAAUUCGAAAUAAUUAUUUAUUUUUAAUAUUUCAAAAUAUAUUAUAUUAAAUUUAAAUAUUUAAAAUACCAUUUCAAAUAUAACAUCAAAUUUUUAUAUAUAUUAUAUAAAAUGCAAAAUAAAUUCGAGGUUGGGUUCGAGGUGGGUACAGUCAAAAUUCAUAUUUGAAUCUAUAUCCGUUGGGUUUUUAUUUUUGAUAUCCAUAUCCGAAUCCAUAUCCGUAUAGCAUUUGAUAUAUCCGCUCCAUUCGGAUUCGGAUAUCCGUACCCAUUGACAUCCCUAAAUCUAAUAGCUAAAAAUUGUAUAGAAAAAUAACUCAAAUACUAUUGAUAGUAUAGCAAUCAAACUCUAAUACUCUUU
Molecule: long non-coding RNA, 592 nt
Filed under: Ananas comosus (pineapple)
Lineage: Eukaryota; Viridiplantae; Streptophyta; Magnoliopsida; Poales; Bromeliaceae
Description: long non-coding RNA (ACOM_LNC035526)
Source: RNAcentral